Long non-coding RNA from Clupea harengus (Atlantic herring), 1450 nucleotides. Lineage: Eukaryota; Metazoa; Chordata; Actinopteri; Clupeiformes; Clupeidae. The record is from Ensembl.
CACAAACACACACACAACACACACACACACUCACAUACACUUGCACACACCACACACUCACACACACUAUACACUCAUACACACUUGCACACACCAUACACUCACACACACACAAAACAUUACAAAUAUUUGAUGUAGUACUUAAAUAUGAUACGCGAAAAGUGCAGUAGCCAUACUGUGAGGUUUUCAAUGAUAUAAAAUACUUUACUGUCCCAAACUCACAUCUCAAUCACAGAGCAUGCUGGCAUAUUCAUAGCGGCGGUGUUACAUGAUUGCCUCAUACGUAGGUUCUUCUGGGUUCAGAGUGUAACAUUUCUUUCAGGCUUUUGAUUCGCCCAGUGUACUGAAACAGCUAAUUUUACCCAUAGUGCCUUUUAAUGAUCAAACAUGCACUUUCCACUCAGUCUGUGUGCCACAUGGAGUGAACACAAACAAUGUACUGUUUGAAACUGUCAAAAAUUAAACGUCAAAAUACAGUAGGUAAUACACUUUUCACCAUAGCAUAGUAUUUGCCAUUAUUACAGUGUGACCAUGUCAAUGUCACUCAAUGAGAAGGAGGAGAGGACACUGAUAGUGUUUAUAUAAACCUAGGGUCAAGGUUAGAGAAGGGAUUGGGGUUAAAUUGAGUAAGGCUUAGGGCUAUGUGAGAACAGAGUAUCAAAUUGGUGUUUUACACCAGUAGCAACACUGAUUGUUACACAGUACUUAGCGCUAUAGACAAACGAUAACAAUGUGUACUGAGUCUUGUGUACUAUAACUGAGACGUCUUGUGUACUAUAUCUGAGUCUUGUGUACUAAAACUCUUGUGUUGUGUACUAUAACUGAGUCUUGUGUUGUGUACUAUAACAACAGUCUUGUGUACUAUAACUGAGUCUUGUGUACUAUAUCUGAGUCUUGUGUUGUAUACUAAAAAAAGAGUCUUGUGUACUAUAACUGAGUCUUGUGUACUAUAUCUGAGUCUUGUGUAUACUAAAACAAGAGUCUUGUGUACUAUAACUGAGUCUUGUGUACUAUAACAAGAGUCUUGUGUACUAUAACUGAGUCUUGUGUACUAUAACUGAAGUCUUGUGUACUAUAACUGAGUCUUGUGUACUAAAACUGAGUCUUGUGUACUAUAUCUGAGUCUUGUGUACUAUAACAAGAUUCUUGUGUACUAUAACUGAGUCUUGUGUACUAAAACAAGAGUCUUGUGUACUAUAUCUGAGUCUUGCGUGACUAUCCCUAGAAAGCCUCUGACUACAGAAAGGAUCCAGACCCUUAUUUUGCAUGAAGUUAUUCCGAAGGUUCAAUCACUAUCUAACCAAAUGAAGCGAAUCAGUGAAGCCUUUCCCGUAAAGUGUGUCUCCCUGGUUACCACGGUGGUUGUCGAGCUGCGCUUUGUAGAGACGGACCCCAGAUCUGUUAUGUAGUCCCCUGCUAUCACUCCAUCCCACCUCCAUCCCACUGCCCC